GGGCUCCUUUAUCCCGUAGGCCAGCGGAUCCGCGCACGCGCGCCACCACCCUGCCUGCGGGUGGGGGCGGGGCCACAUUGCGUCAUCGGGGAGCGCUGCAGACAACGCGAGUUUGCCGGAAGUUGGGCGGUGUUCUCUAGGGUCACAUGGGAUGGCGGCAACAUCUGAGACUGUGACUGUGGUGGAGGACUUGCACUAGUGUGCCCGUCAGACUGACUUGUACAAGAAAGGAAGAGACGUGGAGGCGAAGGCCAGGAAGCAGGCAAGAAAUAAUGGCAGCAGCUAUGGGGGAUCCUGGACUCUGCAAGUUGCAGUUUGCCCCCUUCAGCAGCGCCUUGGAUGUGGGAUUCUGGCAUGAGUUGACCCAGAAGAAGCUGAAUGAGUAUCGGCUGGAUGAAGCUCCCAAGAACAUUAAGGGUUAUUAUUACAAUGGUGAUUCCGCUGGGCUGCCAGCUCGUUUAACCUUGGAGUUCAGUGCUUUUGACAUGAGUGCCCCAACCCCGGCCCGCUGCUGCCCAGCUACGGGAACACUGUAUAACACCAACACACUCGAGGCCUUCAAGGCUGCAGAUAAGAAGCUACUUUUGGAACAAGCAGCAAACGAGAUAUGGGAGUCCAUCAAGUCAGGGGCCGCUCUUGACAACCCUGUCCUCCUCAACAAAUUCCUCCUCUUGACGUUUGCAGAUCUAAAGAAGUAUCAUUUCUACUAUUGGUUUUGCUCCCCUGCUCUCUGCCUUCCAGAGAGUAUUCCCCUCGUUCAGGGGCCAGUGGGCUUGGAUCAAAGAUUUUCACCAAAACAGAUUCAAGCCCUUGAGCGUGCGUAUGAUAAUCUUUGUCAAACAGAAGGAGUCCCGGCACUUCCUUACUUCCUAAUCAAGUAUGAUGAGAACACGGUGCUGGUUUCCUUGCUUAAACACUACAGUGAUUUCUUCCAAAGUCAAAGGACAAAGGUAACUAUUGGUGUCUAUGAUCCCUGUAACUUAGCCCAGUACCCUGGAUGGCCUUUGAGGAAUUUUUUGGUCCUAGCAGCCCACAGAUGGCCUGACAUCAGGAGUAGCAGUUUCCAGUCUGUUGAAGUCCUGUGCUUCCGGGAUCGAACGCUGCAGGGGGUGAGAGACAUCGCCCACAGCAUCAUCUUCGAAGUGAAACUCCCAGAAGUGGCAUUUAGCCCAGAUUGUCCCAAAGCAGUUGGAUGGGAAAAGAACCAGAAAGGCGGCAUGGGGCCCCGGAUGGUGAACCUCAGCGAAUGUAUGGAUCCUAAGAGGUUAGCUGAGUCAUCCGUGGACCUCAAUCUCAAGUUGAUGUGUUGGAGAUUGGUCCCUACUUUGGACUUAGACAAGGUUGUGUCUGUCAAGUGUCUGCUGCUUGGAGCCGGCACCUUGGGUUGUAACGUAGCUAGGACGUUGAUGGGUUGGGGCGUCAGACACAUCACAUUUGUGGACAAUGCCAAGAUCUCCUAUUCCAACCCCGUGAGGCAGCCGCUCUAUGAAUUUGAAGAUUGCCUGGUGGGUGGUAAGCCCAAGGCCCUGGCAGCAGCAGACCGCCUCCAGAAAAUAUUCCCCGGAGUGAAUGCCAGAGGGUUCAACAUGAGCAUCCCCAUGCCGGGACACCCUGUCAACUCCUCCAGCAUCACCCUGGAGCAGGCCCGCAGGGAUGUGGAGCAGCUGGAGCAGCUCAUCGAAAGCCAUGACGUCGUGUUCCUGUUGAUGGACACCAGGGAGAGUCGGUGGCUGCCUGCUGUCAUCGCUGCCAGCAAGAGAAAGCUGGUCAUCAAUGCUGCGUUGGGAUUUGACACGUUUGUUGUCAUGAGACAUGGCCUGAAGAAACCUAAGCAGCAGGGAGCUGGGGACCUGUGUCCCAGCAACCCUGUGACAUCUACCGACCUCCUGGGCUCAUCACUUUUUGCCAACAUCCCUGGCUACAAACUUGGCUGCUAUUUCUGCAAUGAUGUCGUGGCCCCAGGAGAUUCCACCAGAGACCGGACCUUGGACCAGCAGUGCACUGUGAGUCGUCCAGGACUGGCCAUGAUUGCAGGAGCUCUGGCAGUGGAAUUGAUGGUUUCUGUUUUGCAGCAUCCGGAAGGGGGCUACGCCAUUGCCAGCAGCAGCGACGACCGCAUGAAUGAGCCUCCGACCUCCCUCGGGCUCGUGCCUCACCAGAUCCGAGGAUUUCUGUCACGAUUUGAUAAUGUCCUUCCUGUCAGCCUGGCAUUUGACAAAUGUACAGCUUGUUCUUCCAAAGUUCUUGAUCAAUAUGAACGGGAAGGAUUUAAUUUCCUAGCAAAGGUGUUUAAUUCUUCACAUUCCUUCUUGGAGGACUUGACCGGUCUUACCUUACUACAUCAAGAGACCCAGGCUGCUGAGCACCCGAGGAGCUGUGCAGACCCAGAGGGAGCUCCCAGGGGCCAGUGAUAGCUGCAAACAGCAGAUCCUUCUCUCUGGUGGGCCUCUAGAGCUGCAGUGACCCUGGAAACAGGCCCGUGUCCCUCCUUGGGAUCCCAGCCCAGCGUCUCCACCCAGAUCUGGGACAUGAGCGACGAUGAGACCGUCUGACAACACCCCCCCGAGAGGCUGACCCCUCCCUGGCUGCCCCACAGGGGUCUCAGUGGCUGGAGCAGGACGGCCGCCCCCAGGACUGGUGAUUCUGGGCCCCAAACCCCUCCAACCUUUCUGGUCCCCUCGUCCCUAUACCUUGAGGACUGGGGUCCUUCUUCCGCUGCCCAGGAGCUUCUGGUGUUCUCCAUUUCUUAUGAUUCACAAUCCCACCAAUUCUGAGCUAAAUAAUAACCUUGGCUUUGGCAUUGCCAUUGAUCUGGGACUCAGUUCCCUUCA
Molecule: RNA transcript, 2831 nt
Organism: Phacochoerus africanus (Common warthog)
Lineage: Eukaryota; Metazoa; Chordata; Mammalia; Artiodactyla; Suidae
Gene: ATG7
Gene name: autophagy related 7
Exons: 21
Source: RefSeq, a predicted model, not a curated record